Long non-coding RNA from Carassius gibelio (silver crucian carp), 1782 nucleotides. RefSeq lists it as uncharacterized. The transcript is spliced from 3 exons. The record is from RefSeq and is a predicted model, not a curated record. Lineage: Eukaryota; Metazoa; Chordata; Actinopteri; Cypriniformes; Cyprinidae.
UUCACAGAUUGCAUCCUACCUUGUAAACAGCAUACUAGUCCAGUGGUUACCCCAGAAACGACAUCACCGGGCACUGCUCAGCUGUUCUCGUAAACUCUGGACCUCUUGGGCUUGUCUCUCAUGAACCUGGUCAAAGACCCGGUUUGAGUAGAUGCGUCGUGACACGUGGAUGGCUAGUCCAGAUUAGCGAACACUUCGAGGGUCUCGCCUCCCCUGUGUCAGAACAAUCUGAUCGAACAGACCAAAAGAGCCCUUCUCCCUUUCUCUGGCAGUACCUCCCUGUUCAAUAGACCAGCUCUUCCAGGUCUGCACUAAGAUCACUGAACCCAUUGACAUCAGAAACCCUUCCAAAAGUUGGGAGGGGAUCCAAUCUCCCUCUCUGAAUAAGGAGGUUUGUGUCUACCACACAUUUGAGAACCAUACGUAGAAACACAAAAAGAAAACCUUAUCCUGAAACCACCUUUUCUAUAUCAGAUGACACUGAUGUUAAAUGAAAUCCUGCAUUUAUUCAAGUGCAUUUGAGUUUAUACUAAAAUACUCAUUGGUAUGAGUUGAUUAUGAAGCCUUACCGGUUAGGUUUUGAGUUUGGCAGAGUGAAAUUCCACAAGAAUAGGGUGCAUCCAUGCCAGACGUCCACUUAAAGGCACAUUUUGUCGAUGUCUAUGAAGUCGGACUCUCUUAAUGUGGCCAUCAUCCCUCUCUUUUGUAUUUAUAAGCAGCGUUGGGAUGUGGGAGGUGUAUCAGGGUUAAGCACCAACAGGAAGCAUGAGGGAAUUACAUCAGAGGUCUACAGCAUGCAUCCUGCCAAGGGUGACUGUCCCUCCCAAUCUUGUUGGAAAGCGUGUGUGUCUGUUUGGGAUAGAAAGGGAGUGAGGAGGGCCUGUGAUGUGUCAAAGGUGGGCUGUGUUGUAUGUAUGUACAUGUUGAUCAGUGCAGGUGUGACUGAACACUCAAGAAAGAAUGAUAUGAUAAUACGCACGACACAAUCUGACCUUCUUAGUACAGAUUGUCUAGAUAUGGCCAGAUCUCUCCUCAGAACAUGAGCCAGCUCUUGAAUACAUAGUGUCUGACGGUCUGUUGAUAAGCCAGAAUUGAGUCAGCUUCAUCAUUUGUCUGAAAAAUCAGGCUCUUUUUGGCAUAGUAGCUCUUUUUUAAUUUCUUCUAAGUACACUUGUGACGUAAUGACGAUUACUACAAAGAAUUUAAAUCUAAUUUUUGAAAAUACUGAAAGGUAACGUUGAAGCCUUUACAAUGGGAGUGAUUAGGGCCAAUCUCUGGAAAAAGUAUAACUGGAAAUAUGAAGCUUAUAAUUUUAUAACAGCACUUCUUUAAUUAUUCUUUCAAAACUUGUGAGUAUUUGAGCUAAAACGUUUAAAUCAUACAGUUUACAUUAUUAUUAUUAUUAUUAUUAUUAGUUUUUUUUUUUUAUAGCAUUGCAUUUCAUGGUGACAAAGUUAUACAAUUAAUAAUAUAUGAAAUAAGCUUCUACAGAGUUAUUUUAAUUUUAUUUGUUUGUAUGUUUUCCACCUCACUAAAAUCAUUUUAACAUGCAUAUUCUUUACGUAUAUUUGUAACUAUACUAUAAGAACAGUAAGUAUUUUAACGUUUGUGGAUUUACUUCAUUUUCAGUCUCUCACUGUAACCGAGAUUUAUGCCUUUUUAUAUCAAAAAGGAGGAAGUGGAAUAUAAUUUUGUGCCAACCAACAUUAUGCCACAAAUGCUGUAGAAUGAGGUUAACUUAUACGCUGUCUGAGGUUUGUGUAUUAUAUAAUAAAAUUAUAU